AGAGUUUGAUCAUGGCUCAGGAUGAACGCUAGCGGUAGGCCUAACACAUGCUAGUCGAACGGGAACAGGAAUUAUCUUGCUAAUUUGCUGACGAGUGGCGCACGGGUGCGUAACGCGUAUGCAACUUACCCCUAACAGGAGGAUAGCCUUUCGAAAGGAAGAAUAAUACUCCAUAAUAUUUAUAUGUGGCAUCACAUAUUUAUUAAAACUACGGUGGUUAGGGAUGGGCAUGCGUCCUAUUAGUUAGCUGGUGAGGUAACGGCUCACCAAGGCGAUGAUACGUAGGGGGCCUGAGAGGGUUAUCCCCCACACUGGUACUGAGACACGGACCAUCACUCCUACGGGAGGCAUCAGUGAGGAAUAUUGGUCAAUGGACGGAAGUCUGAACCAGCCAUGCCGCGUGCAGGAAGACUGCCCUAUGGGUUGUAAACUGCUUUUAUAUAGGAAUAAACCCCUCAACGUGUUGGGGGCUGAAUGUACUAUAAGAAUAAGCACCGGCUAACUCCGUGCCAGCAGCCGCGGUAAUACGGAGGGUGCAAGCGUUAUCCGGAUUUAUUGGGUUUAAAGGGUCCGCAGGUGGGAGAAUAAGUCAGUGGUGAAAUCCUAUCGCUUAACGAUAUAACUGCCAUUGAUACUGUAUUUCUUGAGUGUAAUUGAAGUUGGCGG
This 666-nucleotide ribosomal RNA is filed under the name uncultured Flavobacteriales bacterium. RNAcentral's name for it is "bacterial SSU rRNA". It matches the Rfam family "Bacterial small subunit ribosomal RNA", at positions 8 to 664 of the family's 1533-position model. The record is from RNAcentral. Lineage: Bacteria; Pseudomonadati; Bacteroidota; Flavobacteriia; Flavobacteriales.